GAGACUCCCUUUAAGGACUGACUGCUGCUAGGGAUGGGUUUCUUUCUGGAGAUUCCUCCUUGGUGAAGCUUUCCCCUGUGAACCUGAAAUCUUCUGAUACAGGUGUGUGAAACUUAACGGCAGUUCUAUCUUGUAAGCUCCUGGAGAUACUGUUGGCUUUGUUGGGCAGCACCGUGCAGGUGAUGACCACUCUCCCAACUCCAGCAGCAAAUUGUGUGUUUGUCUGUAUAGUGAUUUCAGUGUACUGUCUCAUAAAUUUAAUUAUGAAGUGAUUGUUUAAAUAUGUUGUUUUUCCAUGCAUGGAAUAAAUUUUGAAACUGUCUUGU
Meleagris gallopavo (turkey) is the source of this 326-nucleotide non-coding RNA. Lineage: Eukaryota; Metazoa; Chordata; Aves; Galliformes; Phasianidae. The record is from RefSeq and is a predicted model, not a curated record.